GACCCCUGAAGCAUGAGUCGACUCAUAAGUCGACCCCUGCGAUGGGAAAUGUCAACAACGGCUAUUUUUUUGCCCAUUUUAAUUGCCAUUUAUGCUUCCUAAAAAUCCUCUAAUGGCUCUUUAUCUACUUAAAUUGUUUUCUCUUGCUUCUAAUGCUACAAAAUGCUUAAUAUGAUGAAAGAAAUUGCAGAUUAAAUAGCGGAUCAAACGUGAAAUCAAAUAUGAAGAGGAGCAGAGAAAGAGAGAGAAGAAUAGAAGAAAGGAUCCGAAAUUUGCAAGAAAAAGCAUGAGAUCAAUGAAAAAUCCAAAAAGAAAAAAUAAUAUACCAAAGAGAUUGUGAAAGAAAAAAGCAAGAUCUUUCAAGGAGAGAAUUCUUCAUGCCUAUUGUUUCAACCUUGAUCUAGAGAUCGUUCAAAGCUUUCAAGAGAUCUUCAAUCAACAAUCAACCUCUUCUCAAGCAUUCAAGUGUUCAUCCACUUUGAGAAAUUUCGAAAAAGGGGUUCUUCAUUUGAGUAAAGCUUUUAUUGUUAUAUUCGCUCAUUUAAAGGAGCUGUUAUUGUAUUAAUUUGUGCUCUAAAUUUUCUAACUCUUUGUGAGUUUUUGUUCUU
RNAcentral lists this long non-coding RNA (608 nucleotides) under Elaeis guineensis (African oil palm). RNAcentral's name for it is "long non-coding RNA (EGUI_LNC056718)". The record is from RNAcentral. Lineage: Eukaryota; Viridiplantae; Streptophyta; Magnoliopsida; Arecales; Arecaceae.